CCUACGGGUGGCUGCAGUGGGGAAUAUUGGACAAUGGGCGAAAGCCUGAUCCAGCCAUGCCGCGUGUGCGAAGAAGGCCUUCGGGUUGUAAAGCACUUUCAGUGGGGAAGAAAGCCUUGGGGCUAAUACCCUCGAGGAAGGACAUCACCCACAGAAGAAGCACCGGCUAACUCCGUGCCAGCAGCCGCGGUAAUACGGAGGGUGCGAGCGUUAAUCGGAAUUACUGGGCGUAAAGCGCGCGUAGGCGGUCUGAUAAGCCGGUUGUGAAAGCCCCGGGCUCAACCUAGGAACGGCAUCCGGAACUGUCAGGCUAGAGUGCAGGAGAGGAAGGUAGAAUUCCCGGUGUAGCGGUGAAAUGCGUAGAGAUCGGGAGGAAUACCAGUGGCGAAGGCGGCCUUCUGGACUGACACUGACGCUGAGGUGCGAAAGCGUGGGUAGCAAACAGGAUUAGAUACCCGAGUAGUC
RNAcentral lists this ribosomal RNA (465 nucleotides) under Vreelandella stevensii. RNAcentral describes it as "partial 16S ribosomal RNA". It matches the Rfam family "Bacterial small subunit ribosomal RNA", at positions 338 to 795 of the family's 1533-position model. Lineage: Bacteria; Pseudomonadati; Pseudomonadota; Gammaproteobacteria; Oceanospirillales; Halomonadaceae. The record is from RNAcentral.